RNAcentral lists this ribosomal RNA (410 nucleotides) under uncultured bacterium. RNAcentral's name for it is "partial 16S ribosomal RNA". It matches the Rfam family "Bacterial small subunit ribosomal RNA", at positions 29 to 335 of the family's 1533-position model. The record is from RNAcentral.
AAUGAACGCUUGCGAUGGGCCUAACACAUGCAAGUCGAACGUGUGUGGAUUUUGUUUUCUUUCAGAAAACAAAAACACACAAGUGGCAAACGGGUGAGUAAAGCGCGAGAACUUACCUGUCAGUCCGACUCAAGGCUUCUUUUGCUUUUUGUUUCUUCUUUUUUGUAAAAAAAGAAGAAACAAAAAGCAAAAGGCUGAAUAGCGGAUAGUUUUUUAACUUUCUCUUGUAGUUUCUUUUUUUACAAACCAGAAAAUGUAAGAGAAAGUCACAAAGAAAUAAAAAAGUUUUUGCUGACAGAUGGGCUCGGGUGGGAUCAGGUAGUUGGUGAGGUAAAAGCUACACCAAGCCAAUGACCCCUAGCUGGUCUGAAAGGACGAUCAGCCACACCGGGACUGAGACACGGCCCGGA